CGGUCCCAUACCGAACCCGGCAGUUAAGCACGUCAGCGCUGAUGGUACUUGGAGGGCGACCUCCCGGGAGAGUAGGUCAUUGCCAAGG
Molecule: ribosomal RNA, 88 nt
Filed under: Anaerolineales bacterium
Lineage: Bacteria; Bacillati; Chloroflexota; Anaerolineae; Anaerolineales
Source: RNAcentral